This 1006-nucleotide long non-coding RNA is filed under the name Homo sapiens (human). RNAcentral's name for it is "HSALNT0390917". The record is from RNAcentral. Lineage: Eukaryota; Metazoa; Chordata; Mammalia; Primates; Hominidae.
CUCAGGUGAUCCACCUGCCUCGGCCUCUCAAAGUGCUGGGAUUACAGGCGUGAGCCACCAUGCCUGGCAUAUAUGGCAAAGUUUUAACACCAUUUUUUACUAAGAUAAGUAUCAUAAAGGACUUUGUAAAGAAUAUAUUACAACCGAUCAGGCCAGUGGCUUUUUGUUUGUUUGUUUAGCAGGAUUUGAUUGAACCUCAUCAUGCUAUAGAUCUUCCAUUCAGGGAUGAUGAUGUGGGCAUAGUUCAGUGGAGGCUGCCUGCAAUGAAACUGGGCAGAGGCAAGAAUCGAGAGAUCAGCUUUAGCCCAGCUCCCAGGAGCACCAGAGUUAAGAAGGAUAUCUCCUAGAGGGAAAGCCAGAGACCAGGCAAGGGAACAUACAUGAACACCCAGCCUGUGCUCUGGUGUGAGGUUGCAACAGGAGUAGGAUUGGUUCAAUCAGCAUAUUUUCUUUCAUGUACUAGGUUGAAAGUAUUAGUCCAUUUUAUAGAUGAAGAAAUGGAGGCCCAGAGAGAUCACGUGACUUAGCCAAGUCCACCAACUAAUAUUGGGAAGCUCAGCAGGGUCCUGGGGGCCCACAGGAAUGUGAAUAAACACGCUUGGAAAGUCUGCAGAAUUUCCAGUCCUAGCCUCCUGCUGGUGUGAACCUGGGCUCCUGUGCCUGGGACCCUGGGAGGGCCUAGGGGAUGCCAAAUUCCAGGGUCCAGAAAGAGCUUGGGAUAAAAUGAACAUCCAAGGGGAGGGCUUUGACCUGGGCUGAGUCUGCCUGUGCCGAGUCUGCCUGUGCCAUCCAACUGGAGUCUCAAGUCCUGAGGCAGGACGUCCAGAUGCCCCAGUGCAGGGUCCUCCUGAUCAACACCUGCUCCCCUGUACUCAUUAGCAACCUCACCCACCCUACUCUCAAAGCACACUUGGCUCUCAUAUCCAGGAGCUCUGCAUCUGUAGAUUCAGCAACAGCAGAUGGAAAAUAUUCAGAAAAUAAAUUGGACAGUUAUAUUUCUAUUGAA